RNAcentral lists this ribosomal RNA (424 nucleotides) under Verrucomicrobiota bacterium. RNAcentral's name for it is "Verrucomicrobia bacterium partial 16S ribosomal RNA". It matches the Rfam family "Bacterial small subunit ribosomal RNA", at positions 355 to 776 of the family's 1533-position model. Lineage: Bacteria; Pseudomonadati; Verrucomicrobiota. The record is from RNAcentral.
UGAGGAAUAUUGGUCAAUGGGCGAGAGCCUGAACCAGCCAAGUAGCGUGCAGGAUGACGGCCCUAUGGGUUGUAAACUGCUUUUAUAUGGGAAUAAAGUGAGGGACGUGUCCCUUAUUGCAUGUACCAUACGAAUAAGGACCGGCUAAUUCCGUGCCAGCAGCCGCGGUAAUACGGAAGGUCCAGGCGUUAUCCGGAUUUAUUGGGUUUAAAGGGAGCGUAGGCUGUUUGUUAAGCGUGUUGUGAAAUGUAAGAGCUCAACUUUUAGAUUGCAGCACGAACUGGCAGACUUGAGUGCGCACAACGUAGGCGGAAUUCAUGGUGUAGCGGUGAAAUGCUUAGAUAUCAUGACGAACUCCGAUUGCGAAGGCAGCUUACGGGAGCGCAACUGACGCUGAAGCUCGAAGGUGCGGGUAUCGAACAGG